GAUGAACGCUGGCGGCGUGCCUAAUACAUGCAAGUCGAGCGAACAGACGAGGAGCUUACUCCUCUGACGUUAGCGGCGGACGGGUGAGUAACACGUGGAUAACCUACCUAUAGGACUGGGAUAACUUCGGGAAACCGGAGCUAAUACCGGAUAACAUGUUGAACCGCAUGGUUCAACAGUGAAAGACGGUCUUGCUGUCACUUAUAGAUGGAUCCGCGUCGCAUUAGCUAGUUGGUAAGGUAACGGCUUACCAAGGCAACGAUGCGUAGCCGACCUGAGAGGGUGAUCGGCCACACUGGAACUGAGACACGGUCCAGACUCCUACGGGAGGCAGCAGUAGGGAAUCUUCCGCAAUGGGCGAAAGCCUGACGGAGCAACGCCGCGUGAGUGAAGAAGGUCUUCGGAUCGUAAAACUCUGUUAUUAGGGAAGAACAAAUGUGUAAGUAACUAUGCACGUCUUGACGGUACCUAAUCAGAAAGCCACGGCUAACUACGUG
RNAcentral lists this ribosomal RNA (497 nucleotides) under uncultured bacterium. RNAcentral's name for it is "partial 16S ribosomal RNA". It matches the Rfam family "Bacterial small subunit ribosomal RNA", at positions 28 to 507 of the family's 1533-position model. The record is from RNAcentral.